AACGAACGCUGGCGGCAUGCCUAACACAUGCAAGUCGAACGAAGGCUUCGGCCUUAGUGGCGCACGGGUGCGUAACGCGUGGGAACCUGCCCCUCGGUUCGGAAUAACAGUUAGAAAUGACUGCUAAUACCGGAUGAUGACUUCGGUCCAAAGAUUUAUCGCCGAGGGAUGGGCCCGCGUAGGAUUAGCUAGUUGGUGGGGUAAAGGCCUACCAAGGCGACGAUCCUUAGCUGGUCUGAGAGGAUGAUCAGCCACACUGGGACUGAGACACGGCCCAGACUCCUACGGGAGGCAGCAGUGGGGAAUAUUGGACAAUGGGCGAAAGCCUGGUCCAGCAAUGCCGCGUGAGUGAUGAAGGCCUUAGGGUUGUAAAGCUCUUCUACCAGGGAUGAUAAUGACAGUACCUGGAGAAUAAGCUCCGGCUAACUCCGUG
Molecule: ribosomal RNA, 433 nt
Filed under: uncultured bacterium
Lineage: Bacteria
Description: bacterial SSU rRNA
Rfam family: Bacterial small subunit ribosomal RNA
Source: RNAcentral